Molecule: long non-coding RNA, 263 nt
Filed under: Phoenix dactylifera (date palm)
Lineage: Eukaryota; Viridiplantae; Streptophyta; Magnoliopsida; Arecales; Arecaceae
Description: long non-coding RNA (PDAC_LNC008388)
Source: RNAcentral
UUAUAAGACUGAGUUCGUAAGACCUCGGCCAGGGCAGAUUGCACAGUAGAGAAAGAGUUCUCCGCUCUCGAAAUUAAGUCGAAUAAAUCUUGACAUAUGACAGACGAAGGGGUUUGACGAGUUAUCCAUGACAUCCGUCUUGUAGGGAUCCACGAUAGAAGGACUGUAUCACAUUAUAACUGCACCUAGAGGUUCAUCAUUCUAUUCUACUGGGUAGCUACUACAUGCUGCUAGGUGUCACUGGUGGAUGGUGGGACUCAUAG